Molecule: ribosomal RNA, 365 nt
Filed under: uncultured organism
Description: bacterial SSU rRNA
Rfam family: Bacterial small subunit ribosomal RNA
Source: RNAcentral
CGGAGGAUCCAAGCGUUAUCCGGAAUCAUUGGGUUUAAAGGGUCCGUAGGCGGUUUAGUAAGUCAGUGGUGAAAGCCCAUCGCUCAACGGUGAACGGCCAUUGAUACUGCUAGACUUGAAUUAUUAGGAAGUAACUAGAAUAUGUAGUGUAGCGGUGAAAUGCUUAGAGAUUACAUGGAAUACCAAUUGCGAAGGCAGGUUACUACUAAUUGAUUGACGCUGAUGGACGAAAGCGUGGGUAGCGAACAGGAUUAGAUACCCUGGUAGUCCACGCCGUAAACGAUGGAUACUAGCUGUUGGGAGCGAUCUCAGUGGCUAAGCGAAAGUGAUAAGUAUCCCACCUGGGGAGUACGUUCGCAAGAAUG